Molecule: long non-coding RNA, 300 nt
Filed under: Pongo abelii (Sumatran orangutan)
Lineage: Eukaryota; Metazoa; Chordata; Mammalia; Primates; Hominidae
Description: lincRNA
Source: RNAcentral
AGCUCCCUCCUAAAUUAGAACAGCAGCACCAUCUUCUCCCUGGGUCUCCAGCUCCAUGAAACUCAAGCUAGAAUAGCAGCACCGGCUCCUCUGGGAUCUUCAGCUCCACGACCCUAAGACAUCAGUGGUAGCACCGGCUCCUCCCCUGGGCUCCAGCUCCAGGACCCUCAGACUUGAACAAAAACACCAGCUCCUCCCCAGGCCUCCAGCUCCUUGACCCUCAUAAACAAUCCCUUCUUAUGAAAUGUAGCAGUCAGGAAAACUGUAGAGGAAGUAAAUAAAUAAAUGUUUUCUUUCAAA